UUACACCUGACAGAUGUCUGCUCACACCAGAUCGUCUUGA
RNAcentral lists this transfer RNA (40 nucleotides) under Psaltriparus minimus plumbeus (Lead-colored bushtit). RNAcentral describes it as "partial tRNA-Val". The record is from RNAcentral. Lineage: Eukaryota; Metazoa; Chordata; Aves; Passeriformes; Aegithalidae.